RNAcentral lists this long non-coding RNA (199 nucleotides) under Elaeis guineensis (African oil palm). RNAcentral describes it as "long non-coding RNA (EGUI_LNC040856)". Lineage: Eukaryota; Viridiplantae; Streptophyta; Magnoliopsida; Arecales; Arecaceae. The record is from RNAcentral.
CUGAUUUAGAAAAGACCUAAAUCUAAAUUUUCUCACUAAAUAUUAAGUCUAGAGGUAUUCCAUCAUUGUAGAGAUGUGGAUGCCUUCUUGAUAUUGAUCAUUUUUGACUGGUUAUAGUGGUUCGAUUGCAUCAAAAAGAUACUACCCUCUAUUGGCAUUUGAUGCUCCAUGAUAGAGAUAGGGUUGGAUCUAAUAACUA